Long non-coding RNA from Gavialis gangeticus (Gharial), 112 nucleotides. RefSeq lists it as uncharacterized. Lineage: Eukaryota; Metazoa; Chordata; Crocodylia; Gavialidae. The transcript has 3 exons. The record is from RefSeq and is a predicted model, not a curated record.
UCCCAGAGCACAAGCAAGGCAUCUUGCCAUGUACUCCCUGCCCUCAUUUUGUUUUUCUGGCAUGCCAGCACUCCGGCACUUUCCAAGGUAGGCAUUGUGCAGUUUUUUGGCA